CUGCUGUUCUUAUUGAGAAAAUGAAGGGUCUCUUAAAAACCCAACUGAAAUGCCUAGAGCCGGAGUGGCAGGGCGAGUAACGUACGUGGAGGGUGCCAGGCGGCCUUGUCGGAGUGCCAGGACACAGGGUAAAAGCAACAAGAAUGCGACCUCUGGCGUAGGCUAAAAGUGUGUGUGGUGGGGGGGAGGGGUCGCGGCCGCCCGCACCACGCCAGGGAUCGGGAGGUCGGUCGGCCGGCUGGCAGAGAGGAAGAAAAAAAAGUUGCUUCCCUGACCGGGAAUCGAACCCGGGCCGCGGCGGUGAGAGCGCCGAAUCCUAACCACUAGACCACCAGGGAGCGUCAGGCCUUCCGCCUUGUCUGUGCCUCCUGGACCCGGGGCCCGUAGCCCGCCCGCUCGCCGCUCCCUCGCCGCCGGCCCCCUGCCUUGCGCAGGCCAGCCGCCCGCCGCCCAGGCCCAGGCACGCGCCCUCGCCUGCUUCCUGCUCGCCGCGUCCUCAAAACGCUGCGCGCGCCUCCUGCCCGGACACGCACACACAGCCGCAUGAAUGCCUCCCGCCGCCCGCCUCCGGGGGCAGGAGGGCCCCGCAGCUCGGCAAAAGGUCGGCCCGCUGCGUUGGCCGGGAAUCGAACCCGGGUCAACUGCUUGGAAGGCAGCUAUGCUCACCACUAUACCACCAACGCCGCACGGCCCGGACUGUCCCGAGAUGCCGACCCGGGGCUCCAGCCACAGCCGACUCGCCGCCGCCGCUGCCGCCUGGCGCAGCCCUGCUCAGAGGCCCCGCCCGCCCACAGCGCGGCGCUGCCACCGGCCCCACCAACCGCCGCCCCGCGCCCCCCCAGCGUCGCGCCCGGCGCGGCAGCCCUCGUCCGCCGGGACGGACCGCCUCUGGGGGGCGCCCUCGCUGCCAUUCCACAAAGCGGACCCCGACGCCGACCGCCCCGCCAAACCCGCGGCCGGGCACACGUCCUCCACCGGCCGGCUCGCCCCAGCCCUUCUCCACCGGCUGCUCGGCGAGGCAGCUGCGCGCACCGAGAGAGGACCCACCCGCCGCCCGUCCCGGCAGCUGUGCAGCUGUGCAGCGCGCGUCGCGCGUCGCGUCGCGUCGCAGGGAGCCCCG
RNAcentral lists this transfer RNA (1120 nucleotides) under Equus asinus (donkey). RNAcentral describes it as "lncRNA (ENSEASG00005035298.1)". The record is from RNAcentral. Lineage: Eukaryota; Metazoa; Chordata; Mammalia; Perissodactyla; Equidae.